Dipodomys ordii (Ord's kangaroo rat) is the source of this 297-nucleotide unclassified non-coding RNA. Its record names the gene 7SK. It matches the Rfam family "7SK RNA". Rfam says of the family: 7SK was discovered as an abundant small nuclear RNA in the mid-70s but a possible function has only recently been suggested. Lineage: Eukaryota; Metazoa; Chordata; Mammalia; Rodentia; Heteromyidae. The record is from Ensembl.
CAAAUGCGUGACCUGGCUGUGAUAUCUGUGCCCAUUGAUCACCAGGUUUAUUUGGCUAACUAGCCAAAUGUCCCUUUCUUCCUUCACUGCUCGAUGUGUCCCCUUCCCAAAGCUAUGUGCUUGGUGGAAGAUAACAACCAUCUGUGAUAGAGGAGUACAAUUUUUUGGUGAAGGGUAUAUGAAUACCUGCACUCUCCUUCUAGGAUCUCCAAACAUGCGCUCGAGAUCCUUCCAUCUUUUGGAUAGUAGCCAUUAAACAGAUACCUUUAUCACUUAGAAGACCAAAUACAUCUCUUU